ACGUUCUCUGCGGGACAGAGGGGACAAGAGGCAGCAGAGUGCGGUUGGGCUCAGCCCCCUGAUCUUGCAUCUAGCCCUGCUCUGGCCCUUGGGGAACUCAUUGUAUCUGUGUUGGUCGCAUGUGUACAGGGCCAUGUUCAUACAUUCAUCACAUCGUCCUUGGGAAUCUACUCAGGGUAGACAUUCUGCCCAUUUUAGGAGCUCUAAAUGCGGAUUCCUGGCCUCCUUCUCCGUUGUCCCCCAAGAUUUUGGAGUUUCUCGGCAGACCUGAGAGCUCUGGACGGCUUUGCAAACAUUUAAGGCUGAGCUGUGCUUUGCAAGGUCUCAGCAAGGACCUCACACCUUCCAUGCCCUGGGCGGGCAAGUCUAGCCGCAUCGAGAAGAUCAGUGAGACUAUUGUGCCCCGCUGACCUUGGUCUUUUAGGUCCUUUUGGGCCUGUCUUGAGAACCAGGCCUUGGAGUAGCCCUGCCCAAAGUGGGGCAAAGGGCCUGGGAAGCCCCUAACCACUAAAUGUCACCUGCUGCUGCUCCCUGGGGCCUGGAAUUCCCUCCACCAAAGCCAGAAUGUGACCUUUCUCAGGCAGAAACGAGGCCUGUGGUCUUAAGACCAGGGCUUGCUUAACCUCUUGCUCAAGGGAGCCUUUUUUUGGGGAGAAGACAAGUGAGGCAUCAGAAAGUAAGCCUACAGGCCUCCCUGGACGAGGGGGAUGCUAAGAGGAGCACACACACCCCCCCCCCAGCCAAUGAACUGCUCUUGUUAGUGGAAAGGAAGUGAGCGGGUCUCCUGGACUAGAGUCUUGAGGCCCAGCCCUGUCUUAAACCAACUGCCUGCCCAAGCAGGCUUAGUAUCCUUAUCUCCAGAGCAAUCUGUAUCAUCGCCCAUGCCCUGAACGCUCUCAGGGGUGUUGUGGAGGUCCCCUGUUGCCUUUCCUGUCAGCUGAGCGUCCCCGUACCAGGCACGCUGCACGGGAUGCCUGGCUGGGCAUCCAGUCCCCAGAGGCCCUCCCAGGACAGACAUACUGAGCCCGGAGCUGAAUUCUUCCAGGGAGAGGCGUCCCUUCUGCUCCACAUCCACCCAGUCAAAGAUCAUCUCCAGCUCCUCCUCGCCGCCCAAGAAGCUGAACUUGGCUGCCUGCAAGGAAGAGCACUGAUGGGGAAUUCAGUGUUAUGAACUGGCCGUUGGUGAUCUCUGUGGGAUGCGUGAUGGAGACCUCGUGUCUCUUGGUUGAGAGGCAACAGAAAAUCUGAUUUGCUGAUCUUCGUUGGCGGCAGUGGUGGUGGCGUUUCUAUGUGUGGUCCAAAUUGGCGAAAGCAUUUUGUACCCGCUAGGAAGGAGAACAACUCUUGGCCAUCUGGACUGAGGCAGUUUCAAGGUCGUAGAUGAAAACUGCAAAGCCAGGGGCACCUCGGUGGUUCAGUCGGUUAAGUGUCUGCCUUCGGCUCAGGUCAUGAUCUCAGGGUCCUGGGAUCGAGCCCCCCAUCAAGAUCCCCAC
Long non-coding RNA from Ailuropoda melanoleuca (giant panda), 1493 nucleotides. RefSeq lists it as uncharacterized. The record is from RefSeq and is a predicted model, not a curated record. NCBI's taxonomy places the organism in Eukaryota, Metazoa, Chordata, Mammalia, Carnivora, Ursidae. The transcript is spliced from 3 exons.